RNAcentral lists this ribosomal RNA (434 nucleotides) under uncultured bacterium. RNAcentral describes it as "partial 16S ribosomal RNA". It matches the Rfam family "Bacterial small subunit ribosomal RNA", at positions 29 to 507 of the family's 1533-position model. The record is from RNAcentral.
AGCGAACGCUGGCGGCAGGCCUAACACAUGCAAGUCGAACGAACCUUUCGGGGUUAGUGGCGGACGGGUGAGUAACACGUGGCAACGUGCCUUUAGGUUCGGAAUAACUCAGGGAAACUUGUGCUAAUACCGAAUGUGCCCUUCGGGGGAAAGAUUUAUCGCCUUUAGAGCGGCCCGCGUCUGAUUAGCUAGUUGGUUGAGGUAAUGGCUCACCAAGGCGACGAUCAGUAGCUGGUCUGAGAGGAUGAUCAGCCACAUUGGGACUGAGACACGGCCCAAACUCCUACGGGAGGCAGCAGUGGGGAAUCUUGCGCAAUGGGCGAAAGCCUGACGCAGCCAUGCCGCGUGAAUGAUGAAGGUCUUAGGAUUGUAAAAUUCUUUCACCGGGGACGAUAAUGACGGUACCCGGAGAAGAAGCCCCGGCUAACUUCGUG